UAAGGAAUAUUGCUCAAUGGGAGAAAUCCUGAAGCAGCAACGCCGCGUGGAGGAUGAAGGGUCUAUGACUUGUAAACUCCUGUAAAGAAGGAAAAAAUUCCCAUUAGAUGGGAGAUGAUGGUACUUCUGGAGUAAGCCCCGGCUAACUACGUGCCAGCAGCCGCGGUAAUACGUAGGGGGCAAGCGUUGUCCGGAUUUACUGGGUGUAAAGGGUGCUCAGGCGGAUUUGUAAGUCAGAGGUGAAAUCUUACAGCUUAACUGUGAAACUGCCUUUGAUACUGCAAGCCUAGAGUAUGGAAGAGAGUGAUGGAAUAUCUGGUGUAGCAGUGAAAUGCGUAGAUAUCAGAUAGAACACCGAUGGCGAAGGCAGUCACUUGGUCCAUUACUGACGCUAAAGCACGAAAGCGUGGGUAGCAAACA
RNAcentral lists this ribosomal RNA (420 nucleotides) under uncultured bacterium. RNAcentral's name for it is "bacterial SSU rRNA". It matches the Rfam family "Bacterial small subunit ribosomal RNA", at positions 355 to 774 of the family's 1533-position model. The record is from RNAcentral.